AGGCCCAGAGAGGGUGUAAGGCCCGUUGAGGCGAGACGUGCGGAACCCGGUAUGUCCUUAGAGUCGGGUUGUUUGGGAAUGCAGCCCUAAGCGGGUGGUAAACUCCAUCCAAGGCUAAAUACUAGCACGAGUCCGAUAGCGAAGAAGUACCGCGAGGGAAGGUUGAAAAGAACUUUGAAGAGAGAGUUCAAGAGUACGUGAAACCGCUGAGAGGCAAACUGGUGGAACUGAAAUGGCUCCGAGGAAUUCAGCCGUUGGUGGGUGAACAUUGUCUGUUGUUUAACGACAACGGCAGGCGAGGCUUACUCACAUUCGGUGCACUUUCCUCGGGCCCGACCACGACCGGUGAGCUGAUCUGUCUGUCGUGCCUGGAAGAUAGCGUCAUCUUCGGAAGACGUGUUAUAGACAGGCGCACGGAGCAGUCGGCGCACUGGAUGAGUGCCUGCCCCCUGGGCUCAUAUGGCGGUUGUUUUGUUGGCGAUUCUGAUGUCACUACUUCGGUAGAGUCGUUGGAAUUGUUGGCAUUAUGGCUGUCCUCUAUGAGUGGCACUGGAGUCUGUGGUUGUGAAGUAGGUAGUCCACCUGACCCGUCUUGAAACACGGACCAAGGAGUCUAACAUGUGCGCGAGUCAUUGGGUUCGCGAAACCUAAAGGCGCAGUGAAGGUAAAGAUCUGUCUUGGCAGAUUGAGGUGGGAUGCUGGGUUACGCGCCCAGCCGCACUACCGGCCCGUUCUAUAUGUAGGAGCGGAGCAAGAGCGUACACGUUGGGACCCGAAAGAUGGUGAACUAUGCUUGCGCAGGUCGAAGCCAGAGGAAACUCUGGUGGAGGACCGCAGCGAUUCUGACGUGCAAAUCGAUCGUCAAACGUGAGUAUAGGGGCGAAAGACUAAUCGAACCAUCUAGUAGCUGGUUCCCUUCGAAGUUUCCCUCAGGAUAGCUGGCACUCGGGAAAUGAAACAGUUUUAUCCGGUAAAGCGAAUGAUUAGAGGUAUUGGGACGAAACUGCUCUCAACCUAUUCUCAAACUUUAAAUGGGUAAGAUGC
This 1044-nucleotide ribosomal RNA is filed under the name Pseudobiceros flowersi. Its description in RNAcentral is "partial large subunit ribosomal RNA". It matches the Rfam family "Eukaryotic large subunit ribosomal RNA", at positions 199 to 1081 of the family's 3401-position model. Lineage: Eukaryota; Metazoa; Platyhelminthes; Polycladida; Pseudocerotidae. The record is from RNAcentral.